GCCGCCGCACUUUCAAUACUUAUACCGGUUGUACUAUACCGGUUGUAAUUUUCAGGGGAGGACUCCGAGGACGUGUCAGCUGCCGGGCAAAUGACAACUCUACUUGGAAUUCGAACAGCGAAGAAAGUAACUGAAGCUAUGAUGAAAUGCUGGGCGUCGCAGUUCAGCUUCAAUAACCAGAACUACAAGAAGCAAUACGGCCAACUACUAAACGUGCCCAUGGCGGUCGUCAUCCAAGAAAUGGUUGACGCGAGCGCGGCUGGAGUGAUGUUCA
This is a non-coding RNA of Dermacentor andersoni, 274 nucleotides long. The record is from RefSeq and is a predicted model, not a curated record. Lineage: Eukaryota; Metazoa; Arthropoda; Arachnida; Ixodida; Ixodidae.